AUUGAACGCUGGCGGCAUGCUUUACACAUGCAAGUCGAACGGCAGCGCGGGCUUCGGCCUGGCGGCGAGUGGCGAACGGGUGAGUAAUACAUCGGAACGUGCCCAGGAGGGGGGGAUAGCUCGGCGAAAGCCGGAUUAAUAUCGCAUACGACCUGAGGGUGAAAGCGGGGGUUCUUCGGACCACGCGCUAUUGGAGCGGCCGAUGGCAGAUUAGCUAGUUGGUGGGGUAAAGGCCUACCAAGGCGACGAUCUGUAGCUGGACUGAGAGGACGACCAGCCACACUGGGACUGAGACACGGCCCAGACUCCUACGGGAGGCAGCAGUGGGGAAUUUUGGACAAUGGGCGAAAGCCUGAUCCAGCAAUGCCGCGUGUGUGAUGAAGGCCUUCGGGUUGUAAAGCACUUUUGGCGGGAACGAAAAGGACUGUGCCAAUACCACGGUUCGAUGACGGUACCCGCAGAAUAAGCACCGGCUAACUACGUG
Molecule: ribosomal RNA, 484 nt
Filed under: uncultured bacterium
Lineage: Bacteria
Description: partial 16S ribosomal RNA
Rfam family: Bacterial small subunit ribosomal RNA
Source: RNAcentral